Long non-coding RNA from Brassica oleracea var. oleracea, 843 nucleotides. RefSeq lists it as uncharacterized. The transcript is spliced from 3 exons. Lineage: Eukaryota; Viridiplantae; Streptophyta; Magnoliopsida; Brassicales; Brassicaceae. The record is from RefSeq and is a predicted model, not a curated record.
AAACAAAAUAUCAGAACAGCCGUUGCACUACGCAGACAAAAUCUUAAUCCUGGAAGAUAUUUUCGACCACGAACCCAUCCCUACACCUUUGGUGAUAAACAAAUACCGUAAGACAGUCGUCUAUUGGGACGUGGAGGAUUACCCGGUUCCUAACGAUAUCUAUAUUGAUUCGCUUCGUAGGGAUAUAGAAUCGAUUCUUCUGGAUUUGGGCUGUGAGGAGGUGUCUAUUGUGGCUUACGUUUACAAGAAUAGGUUUUCGGAUGAACUGUAACGUAAAUUUAUGGAUGCCAAAUUUUUUGUCGAUUUCUUACCCGAGGGGGAUGAUGACUUUGCGAGAAUGACUUGGAUGUUAGUGGACAUUAUUUGUUUGCCCGUGGUAUUUCCUAAACCAAAUGUUAUCGUACUCUCAAAACACAUGGAAAAAGAGGCUGUUGGUUGUUUCCAAGGCAUGUAUUUUAACGGUGUUGGGGUUCUCUUAUCCAAAACUGAACCUGGCUGGCUUGUUCCUGAUGAGAGUUCAGCAUUUAAACUUACAAGGCUAUUUGAACAACGUCUUGACUGUGAGAAGCCGCAGAGAGAGGAUACCCUUGCAAACUCUGUCGGCGACUCUGUCAAGGACUACCCUUGUGCGCGCCUCCAAAGGGAGGCCAAUGUAUCUUCUUGAAAGUUUUAUGUUAACUGUGUUUCGACUGUGUGUCCGUCUUUGUAUAGCUGUUACUUUUUUUGGGUUUGAUGACAUGAGGGUUUGGAACAUAUAUUACUCCUUUGUCUUACUUUUUAACUAAACCCUGUUGCAAUGUGGCCUUUAGUUUAGAUGAUUGAAAGCAAACCCGUUUCUUUUAA